CAGUAGCCGCGGUAAUACGUAGGGUGCGAGCGUUAAUCGGAAUUACUGGGCGUAAAGCGUGCGCAGGCGGUUCGUUAAGACAGAUGUGAAAUCCCCGGGCUUAACCUGGGAACUGCAUUUGUGACUGACGGGCUAGAGUAUGGCAGAGGGGGGUAGAAUUCCACGUGUAGCAGUGAAAUGCGUAGAGAUGUGGAGGAAUACCGAUGGCGAAGGCAGCCCCCUGGGCCAAUACUGACGCUCAUGCACGAAAGCGUGGGGAGCAAACAGGAUUAGAUACCCGCGUAUCCCUGUCUCUUAUACA
This 301-nucleotide ribosomal RNA is filed under the name uncultured bacterium. Its description in RNAcentral is "partial 16S ribosomal RNA". It matches the Rfam family "Bacterial small subunit ribosomal RNA", at positions 509 to 809 of the family's 1533-position model. The record is from RNAcentral.